RNAcentral lists this ribosomal RNA (253 nucleotides) under uncultured bacterium. RNAcentral describes it as "partial 16S ribosomal RNA". It matches the Rfam family "Bacterial small subunit ribosomal RNA", at positions 524 to 776 of the family's 1533-position model. The record is from RNAcentral.
UACGGGGGGAGCAAGCGUUGUUCGGAUUUACUGGGCGUAAAGGGCGCGUAGGCGGCUUGACAAGUCACUUGUGAAAUCUCCGGGCUUAACUCGGAACGGCCAAGUGAAACUGUCAUGCUAGAGUGCGGAAGGGGCAAUCGGAAUUCUUGGUGUAGCGGUGAAAUGCGUAGAUAUCAAGAGGAACACCUGAGGUGAAGACGGGUUGCUGGGCUGACACUGACGCUGAGGCGCGAAAGCCAGGGGAGCAAACGGG